CUUGAUAGCCCUUUACAUUCACUAUCCGCCCGGGUACUACGAGCGUUAGCUUAAAACCCAAAGGACCUGGCGGUGCUUUAGAUCCCCCUAGAGGAGCCUGUUCUAGAACCGAUAAUCCCCGUUAAACCUCACCCUCUCUUGCCCUUUCCGCCUAUAUACCGCCGUCGCCAGCUUACCCUGUUGAAGGAACCAUAGUGGGCAAAAUCAGUACAACUCAAAACGCCAGGUCGAGGUGCAGCUUAUGAGAGGGGAAGAAAUGGGCUACAUUCCCUAUUUCAGGGAAUACGAACCGUGCAAUGAAAUGUGCAUAGAAGGUGGAUUUAGCAGUAAGCAGAAAAUAGAGCG
This 345-nucleotide ribosomal RNA is filed under the name Steatocranus sp. 'bulky head'. Its description in RNAcentral is "partial 12S ribosomal RNA". It matches the Rfam family "Bacterial small subunit ribosomal RNA", at positions 786 to 1356 of the family's 1533-position model. Lineage: Eukaryota; Metazoa; Chordata; Actinopteri; Cichliformes; Cichlidae. The record is from RNAcentral.